GGCCUCUUAGCUCAAUGGUAGAGUUAAUGCAACUUGUCGCUUCGUCACAACUCCGUCGGUGCGCGGCGCUUGUGGAGCGCGGAAAACAUUAGGCUGCGAGUUCGAGUCUCGCAGGGGCCC
This 120-nucleotide transfer RNA is filed under the name Aspergillus indologenus CBS 114.80. RNAcentral describes it as "tRNA-OTHER". It matches the Rfam family "tRNA". Rfam says of the family: Transfer RNA (tRNA) molecules are approximately 80 nucleotides in length. Their secondary structure includes four short double-helical elements and three loops (D, anti-codon, and T loops). The record is from RNAcentral. Lineage: Eukaryota; Fungi; Ascomycota; Eurotiomycetes; Eurotiales; Aspergillaceae.